RNAcentral lists this ribosomal RNA (263 nucleotides) under uncultured bacterium. RNAcentral describes it as "partial 16S ribosomal RNA". It matches the Rfam family "Bacterial small subunit ribosomal RNA", at positions 29 to 289 of the family's 1533-position model. The record is from RNAcentral.
AUUAACGCUAGCGGCAGGCAUAAUACAUGCAAGUUGAACGGCAGCACAGGUAGCAAUACUGGGUGGCGAGUGGCGCACGGGUGCGUAACACGUAUGCAACCUACCCUAUACAGGCGAAUAACCUUUAGAAAUGAGGGCUAAUACGCCGUAGUAUUACAGAUGGGCAUCUAUUUGUAAUUAAAGAUUUAUCGGUAUAGGAUGGGCAUGCGUCCCAUUAGUUAGUUGGUAAGGUAACGGCUUACCAAGACGAUGAUGGGUAGGGG